This 253-nucleotide ribosomal RNA is filed under the name uncultured bacterium. Its description in RNAcentral is "partial 16S ribosomal RNA". It matches the Rfam family "Bacterial small subunit ribosomal RNA", at positions 524 to 776 of the family's 1533-position model. The record is from RNAcentral.
UACGUAGGGGGCAAGCGUUAUCCGGAUUUACUGGGUGUAAAGGGAGCGUAGACGGCCAGACAAGUCUGAAGUGAAAAUCCAGCGCUUAACGCUGGAAGUGCUUUGGAAACUGCCGGGCUGGAGUGCAGGAGGGGCAGGCGGAAUUCCUAGUGUAGCGGUGAAAUGCGUAGAUAUUAGGAGGAACACCAGUGGCGAAGGCGGCCUGCUGGACUGCAACUGACGUUGAGGCUCGAAAGCGUGGGUAGCAAACAGG